AAUUUUUUAAUCUUUCAAUACGGUGCCGUUUUGCUUAGUGUAUAAAAGCUUCUUUUCUUUGUUUUUCAAUCAUAUUUCAUUUGCUUCUCUUUCUAUAACUUUUAUUCUCUUUCCUCUCUCUACAAUAAGUAGAUGAAUACUGGCCGAAAGCUUCAAAAGUUUCUAACUUCAGGCAAAGUACCAUCGUCUUUGCCACUGUGGACCACCAUGCUCCACCAUGGGCUAACCACGGUUAAGAUCUGGGUACAGAGGUUAUGUUUCUGACUCCAAGAUCUCUUUCCCUGUUGCACCGGUCAUAACCAUUUCGAGACAUGUUCCUCCCUUUGUUAGUGGCUACCUUUUCACCGGAUUUGAAGACUUAAAACCCCCUAAAAGAAGGUCUCAACAAUGGCGUGGAAAGUGGUUCAAUGAUAAUGAGAUUGUUGUUUGUUUUAGGGUAGUGUAUAACAAAGAGAAGUGGGCAGUUUAAAGUUGAUUUUGGUGGGGUCUAGGCUAAUCUGAUGGUGGCGAUAGGUUGACCGUCAAUGGUAUUAUAGUGUUUGAUGGUGGGGUGGUCUAAAUGAAAGAUGACGGAUUUGGUGGUGAUCAUGCCAGUAAGGGUGGAUUAAUGUUGGUGUGGUACACUGAUGAAAUUAUUGAGCUAUGGUUUUCUGGUGACGAGUGGUUUCAAUUAAGACGGGUGUUCUGGCAAAGGUGAUGGUGAGGUUAUUGCUAGAAUUAUGUGAAGUAAAAAUGGUGAUUGAAAAUUGUUAAUAGUUGCUUUCUCUAUUGUUUUUCAGUGGUUUUCUAUUUGAUUACUAUAUAUUGUUGUUUCUGUGUGUAUGGUGAAGCGAUUAGUUUGGAAUUUGGCGGAUGAAAAUAAAGACAAUUAUAGGCUUGUGUGAUGCUGUGAAUGUAACUCUGAAU
Molecule: non-coding RNA, 906 nt
Organism: Durio zibethinus
Lineage: Eukaryota; Viridiplantae; Streptophyta; Magnoliopsida; Malvales; Malvaceae
Source: RefSeq, a predicted model, not a curated record